Numida meleagris (helmeted guineafowl) is the source of this 420-nucleotide long non-coding RNA. RefSeq lists it as uncharacterized. The record is from RefSeq and is a predicted model, not a curated record. NCBI's taxonomy places the organism in Eukaryota, Metazoa, Chordata, Aves, Galliformes, Numididae. The transcript has 3 exons.
GGAAAAGCACCAAGGAGUCUUCAAAGCGGCACAGCUAGCAAGCGCUGUCAGAACGUUUACAGACUCAGCAUGGCAAAGGGAGCUCUGUCCCCACAGCACGGCCACGGUCACGGCCCGGCCACGCCUCGCGUGCAGCGCGCGGCUCCGGGCACAGCUCGCCCCGCGUCCCACGUCUGCGCCCGCACAGCGCCCGCCCAGGCCCGGGCGGACAGCCCCGCAGAAGAGGGAGAUAACUGAGGUUUUAGUAGUCUUCAGUGAACUCUGGCCUAUGGCUCACCUAGGAUCUCCCCAGCACAGGAAAAGAUGGGAGCAGUUUAAUCCAUUUCGACGCUGACCGUGCGAGCAUUUCUCACUGUGCUCACCAGAUGGCAGAAUGCACCAGAGUACGUGUGCCUCGCACGCACCUGUAAACUCGAACUG